GUUGGGAGGGACUUGGUGGGCCCUGCGCUAGCUGCUGUCUGCCCUCUGUUGUCCAGUUGAGGUCCCCACAAACCUCUCUGAAAGACCGCAGGCACUGUCCCUGGUCUGAGGGUGAGUCUCUCGCCCCCUCUCCCGCCCUGUCAGACUUGAGAGGCCAUGAACCAGGCCUGAGGGGAGAGGCAGCCCGGCCAGCCCCGUCUCACUGGUGCGGGCUCUGGCUCCAGAAAGACUGUGGAAGGGGAGGCCCCUGGGCGCCCCGGCACUAUGUCUGACUAGGUAAACUCUGUUCACCGGACACCUUUCAAUGCCCAUCUGUUCUGACUUCUCAGCAGCCUUUGGAAACUCUCCCUCCCCUGGGUUUUCGUCACAGCAGGUAAGCUCCUGCCCUGAGCUAACAUCGAUACCCAUCUUCCUCUACUUUAUACAUGGGACGCCUACCACAGCAUGGCUUGCCAAGGGGUGCCAUGUCCGCACCAGGGAUCCGAACCGGCGAACCCCGGGCCACCAAGAAGCGGAACGUGAGCACUUAACCACUGCGCCACCGGGCCGGCCCCCAGGUUCUUCAACAGAUAAACUGUAAAGGAAAGAAAGGGGUAGAGGAGACCUUUUAGAUUAGAAGAGACUUAAAAGUUACGUCAAACUAAAAAAACCAAACAGACUGAAAACUAGUGCAUAGGGAGGCACAUGUGGGUGAUAAAACAAUAAAGAAACUCAAGGAAGUGAUUACUGUAAAG
This 734-nucleotide long non-coding RNA is filed under the name Equus caballus (horse). RNAcentral's name for it is "lncRNA (ENSECAG00000054374.1)". Lineage: Eukaryota; Metazoa; Chordata; Mammalia; Perissodactyla; Equidae. The record is from RNAcentral.